This 28-nucleotide small RNA is filed under the name Bombyx mori (domestic silkworm). RNAcentral's name for it is "ovarian small RNA-24271". Lineage: Eukaryota; Metazoa; Arthropoda; Insecta; Lepidoptera; Bombycidae. The record is from RNAcentral.
UAUUGGUUGAUGUAAUCUUGAUGUAAUC